GGUGUGUGUCUGCGAGGGAAGGAGGGAGCGCAGGGGGAGGGGGUGAGUCACGGCCGCGCCCCCGCGGGCGCGAGGCUGGAGCGAGGGCUGCGGGAGCCUCGCCCGCCGCCUGCGCCCCGUGCCCCCUGCCUGGCGGCUGGGCCAAACGGGUCGAGGAGGGUCUCGUCCCGAACUGUCCUUCGGGAGUAGGACUCAAGAGGGGUCAAGAUUCCCAACACCCCCAAAUGCCUGCUGAGGGUCGCCUCCGUUUCCUCGGAGACCCCUCGAAACCCCAUCAUUCAUCCACCCUGCUGAGGAACCCGAGCCCCAAGGCCGCGUGAAAUUGCACUGUCUCCGGCCGCUUCCUCCUCCAGACCCGGCGCCGGCCGGGCCUCUCCCGGGGAUUUGGCUGGGGGGCGGGGGUGGUUUCCAGCCUGGGAACAGACCCGAAGCCCGCCUUCCCUCUUCCACCCCGGGGGGGCUCCCGCACCUGUCGCCGUCCCCUCUGCUGCCCCCCACGGCCGCCUGGGAGAACAGCUGCUUCCCCUUCCACACGAGCCGGAGCGCGCCGUCGGGGCGCCUGGAGUUCUGCUGCUCUGCGGGGACGGAGAGGACCUAAUUAUUCUCUCCAGAGUUUCAAGCCUGAAGACGUCAAGAACAGUUGAGCUCUAGCCGGUUUGGCUCAGUGGAUAGAGCGACGGCCUGUGGACUGAGGGCUCCCAGGUUCGAUUCCGGUCAAGGGCACAUGCCCGGGUUGCGGGCUCAGUCCCCAAUGGGGGGCGUGCAGGAGGCAGUCGAUCAGUGAUUGUCUCUCAUCAUUGAUGUUUCUCUCCCUCUCCCUUCCUCUCUGAAAUCAAUAAAAAUAUAUUAAAAAUAAAAAAUAACAGUUGAGCUUUAGUGAAGAAAAAUUUCGCCGGUAGCUAAAAUUCUUGAAACUUACUGUGUAUUACUAGGGCCUGCUCUCUGCUGAAGGCUUACCUUUGCUCUAGGGCGUUGGCCUGGCCCUGACUACCUGCAUAACAAUCCUAACACGGCAAUAACAACAUCAAUGAAACAUUAACGUAUGCAUGCACAACCACUGCAUUUGCAAGCGUUUCCUACAACUUAGAGAAUGCUCCACUUCACAUAAAAAUGUGUGCUAGCCAGACAUCUGUCCACAGUUUAUGGAGCUGCAAAGGUGUGACUUCCCAAGGUCAUCCACCUGGUGACAGGGUGGAUGAGUAGGAGGGGCUCGGGUUUUUGCCCAGGAUUUCUUUAUGUCACACUGAGACCGGAGCUUCAUCUGCUCAGAAUCAAACCCCCAUCAGAUAACUGAAUUACAUGCCAGGUUAAGGAGCCUUUCAUUUUAUUACUCACCCACCUCAACCUAGUGUUCAAGGCCCUGAUUCGGAAGGAGGAAACCCCUUUUAGUUUUUUGUUUAUAAAACAGUCGUAUCUAUCUAUUAAGGUUGUUGUUCAGAUUUAAUGAGAAAAGGCUGGUAGAGCUCUUAAUUACUGUGCUAUGCUGGAUCUUUAGAAGCAUUCAACGAAUGCUUGCUGUAUUUAGUCCUACUAUCACCAGCCCCUCCCUUCUCCCUCCCCAACUAAAUCCCACGAUGCGUUGCUGGUAUCCAUUCUUCAAUACAUAGAGAAGCAUCCAGCUAAGAGCAUCAGGGAUAUAACCUGGAUAAAGCUGACCAGUAAGGGUGCUACCCUGACUACAUAACUAAAGGAAGGCUUUGUUCACAAAAGCUCUCUGCACUUACCUGGCACCAUUUACUUUUCCUUACUUUCUUUUAAAAUAUAUUUUCAUUUAUUUCAGAGAGGAAGGGAGAGGGAGAGAGAGAGGGAAAUAUCAAUGAUGUGAGAGAAUCAUUGAUUGGCUGCCUCCAGCACGCCCCACACUGGGGAUGGCGCCCACAACUAGGCAUGUGCCCUGACCAGGAAUCCAACCAUGACCUCCUGUUCAUAGAUUGAUUGAUGCUCAACCACUAAGCCAUGCCAGCCAGGCUACUUUUCCUUACUCUUUUUUUUUUUUCUUUUCCUAAUUGAUUUCAAAGCAGAAGAGAAAGAAACAUCAAUGAUGAGAGAGUACCAUUGAUGAGUUGCCUCCUGCAUGCCCACAAUGGGGAAUCUAGCCCACAACAGGGGCAUAUGCCCUGAUUGGGAAUUGAACUGUGAACUCCUGGUUCAUAGGUCGUCACUCAACCACUGACCCACACCAAUCAGGCAUUACUCUUAAUUGAUGACUUUGGUUCUAAUUUUACUGUGAAAAUUAAAAGUAACCGGAAGAAAACAUCCUAUCUUUCUACCACCAAUCUGGCCAAUUUUCCUCCAUCCUGAUUCCAUCUUGUUACAAUGGAUUGUCCUUGCUGCUAUUAGACCAACUCUCACUCCCCCAUUCCCACCUCUCACCCCACCCUCCAGUUCUACACCUCAGCCCAUUCCUUGCCUUUCUCCUGUACUGUUCUCCUAUAUUAUUCCCCUUUUCCUAUAUUACCCAAUUCUCUCUGUACUGGAUCAUUCCCAUUAGCAUACAAAUGAGCUGUAAUAUCUGCCAUUAAAAAAUACAAUAAAACAAGUAAACUUUCUUUUACCCCUUGGGCUUCUAGUCCUGUGCUCCUAACUGCGGCAAGAUGUUCUGUCUUGUGGAUUCCUACUCUGAUUGCCUCUAGUUUCUGGCUACCACAUCGAUGUUGCAAGAGCAAUAAAAUGCCUUUUUACUUGUCUCCUUUGGUUCUGUGAUAACUUCUUGUGCAUAUUGAGCUGCACACUCUGGAAUAUCACACCAUCAGCCAUGGGGUUUCUGUAUCCCAACUUCCUCACCAAUACUUGACAUUAUUCAAGUUUCCUUUUUUUUUUUUCAUUUGCCAUGAAUUAAAAAUAUUUCAAUGCA
Molecule: long non-coding RNA, 2854 nt
Organism: Myotis daubentonii (Daubenton's bat)
Lineage: Eukaryota; Metazoa; Chordata; Mammalia; Chiroptera; Vespertilionidae
Exons: 3
Source: RefSeq, a predicted model, not a curated record